AGGCAUCUAGAGAUGACUUUACAGCUCACAGGCUAUCUCACUGACAUCAUCCCAGGGAGGCAGCUUUGUGGUGCGUGAUCUGGGGUAGAGUUUUUGCAUUCACGUGUUCCUGGGUUUGAAUCCCAGCUCUGCCACUUGGAGGCUGUGUGUCCAUGGGCAAGUCGCUUGACUGCUCUGAGGCCCAGAAUCCUCACCUGUUACAUGAGUGUGCUAGUAGCUGUCCCCACUUUAUAGGUUAUAGCGGAAGUUCUGUGACAUAAUACAUUCACAGCACUUUGCCUACAGUUUAAACCCAAUUAAAUAGCUGUCAAUUACAAUGAAAAUAAACAAUAAUAAUUUAACCCCUAGUGACAUAGGUAUGAACAGUUUCAUUUUAGUAAUAAUUAUAUUUGAGGUCAGUGAAGAUGAGUGACAGGAUGGGCUCAAGACCGCACUGUUGCUAAGCGUCAGGACAGGACUUUUAUUCUGGCCUCCAACGCCUCCCCUUGUGGAGUUUCUCCCAUAACACCUCCCCCGAGGAUCUAGGAACCAAACGAACAGACUUCACAUACGAAUUGCUUAUCCACUCGGAUUCUGGAAACACCAUAAAAUCUUGCAUGACAAAAUAUAGAAUUUGUAUACUUUUCUUUUUAUUUAUAUUUUACUCAGGGGAAAUAGAAACAUAUUUUUUCAAGUUAAAUAUAAAUUAUAUCCUGUUAAAAGGAACUAAGAAAAUCAAAUAGAGAUUGUGUGAAAUGCUGAUAGUACAACUUAGUAGCAAUGAAAAAAUAACAGUCUAAGAUUCAAUUAUAAGACUUUUUAUUGAGCUAUAACAGAAAUAACAUUGUAUAUGUUUAAGGUGUACAACAUAUUGAUGUAAUACAUUUAUCUGUUGCGAUAUGAUCACCACCAUGGCUUUAGCUUACACCUCUGUCCUGUCACAUCGUUACCAUUUCUUUUUUGUGGUGAGAACAUUUAAGAUCUAGUCUCUUAGCAAUUUUGAAGUAUUUAAUACAGUGCUGUUGACCAAUUAUAAGAUUUAAUUGAGUAAAGUCAGGGAGAGUGAAUAUAUAUUGUGACAUAUGGGUUUUUCUCAUUAAAAAAAAAAAAAGAUUUCCAAAUGAGGAGGAUAUGAAAGAUUAAAUUAUUUCCUUUUUUCUUCAAAUUAUAGAUUCCAAGACUAAACCUGAGGAUCUGGCCCCAUCCCAGAAGCUGAUUUGUUUUUCAUCCCUGAUAGACAGCAUAUCUUUCUAGGGGGAGGGAAAAAAACCCAGCGUUAAAAUGAGGCCUGUUUCAGGAAGAAUGUUGACCGAUUAGUAAAACCCCACUGUAUUUAUUUGUCAAGGAGCUCUUCUCCCUGCUGAGAAGCAAAAGUUGUUGUUGCUUUUUUUUUCCCAGCAGUGUCACUGUUACAUUCCUCACCAGUGAGGAGAGAAAUGCAGCGUCGGUCCCUAGGAGCUUUCUGUCCAAACUCAGGGGAAAACUGCAUUCAUGUGGGGUGGACCCACCAGUUUCUCAGGGGUGAGCAGCUUGGCGAGAAGAAUCCUCGUGACAUUUAACAAGGUUUAAUUCAGCUUACGGCUGAAGCAGCUCGGGCGUGUAAAUUGCAGGAAGCGCCCCAGAACGAAAGAUGCUCCCUCGGAAGCUUUGUCAGGAAGGGGUGGUAUCAAGGCUCAUAAAUUGCCCAGUGGCUUUUCAGGAGUUUAUGAGCUCCCAGGCCUCCUCCACAAUAGGUUGCAAGAAGACUCUUAACACCUCAUUAAGGUUGCUUUUUACCAAAUGCUAAUAAUAAAAGGGAGCCCUAAAAGCCUGCCUCAUUUUUAUUCAGAAUCCUCUCCUCUGGAAUAUAAAAAGAUGUCAUAAAAUGGAAAUACAAUGGGGAGCCCAGAUCUUGGGUAGACUCAUUAAAAUUUUCAUGUUGACAGGAAUUUGGGGAAGUCAAGGCUGCACCCCUGGGGUGGGAAACUGUCUUCUCCUCCUGGCAAAGCUGCCUUCAGUCUCUGGAGAAAUGCAAUGCCAGUGAGGGCCCUAAUCCCUAAACUGCUUCAUCUCCAACUGCAGAAUAUUAUUAUUAUUAUUAUUUUGGGGUGUUUUUUUGGUGAGGAACAUUGGUCCUGAGCUAACAUCUGUUGCCAAUCUUCCUCUUUUUGCUUGAGGAAGAUUGUCACUGAGCUAACAUGUGUGCCCGUCUUCCUCUAUUUUAUGUGAGUUGCUGCCACAGCAUGGCUGGAUGAGGGGUGCUGGGUCCUUGGCCGGGAUGAGAACCUGCAAACACUGGGCCACCGAAGCGGAACACUCAAAUUUAACCACUAUGCUACCAGGCCAGCCCCUCCAACUACAGAAUAUUAUUUUGAACUUUUUCUUUCUGAUCAUAACACAGCUUUGCCACUGGGCCUUUUCAUGAGCUGUCUCUGAAGCCCUUUUAUUUAUCGUAUAGUCUAUGGCAUCUCUUAGGGCCAAAACUAAAAUAUGUAUAAAAAGAAGAGUAUAUUCAAAAAUCCAGGCAGUGAAAAGUUGGUGCACGUGAGCCCUGGGAGCUGGUCUUGCUUCUGGAGAUUCGGGUACGAGACUAUGCAGCUCAACGUUGAACUUGGACCUCCCCCAGCUGGAGAGCCAGUCGCUAUCCAGCUGUGUGGCCCCGGAAUGGGGCCUCCCUUCUCUGCGCCCUGCCUCCUACUGUGCAAACUAAGAUGCGAGCAGCAGUGCCUGCCUCUGAAAUGGGUUCUGAGGAUGGACUGGAAUGAUGCGUAAAACGCUCGGGCGGAGCCUGGCUGACAGAAAGCCUUCAGUGAACUGUACUUAGCAUUCAUUCACUCGUUCAUGCAAGAAACAUCGCAGGGCACCUGUUUGGUGCCUAACACUGUUCCAUCAUCAAACACACACCAAGUCCGUACCCUCCCGGGCUGACCUUUGAGUAACCGUGCUCCAAGUCCAGGAAGGCGAGGCCAGGUGGGAUCUAAUCACUGCUCCGCUCCCUGCCAGGACGAGACUACAGUGACUCCCUCAAGUUCUGGGCUGAAGGGGCCCCCAGGAAGCACGGGCCUUUCCUUGGUUAGACCAGAGUUUCUCAACCUCAGCUAUUGACACGCUAUUGACAUUCGUGGGGGGCUGUGGGGUACAUUAUAGAAUGCUUAGCAGCAUUCUUGGCCUCUAACCACCAGAUGCCAGUAGCACCUGCCCCCGCCAAGCUCUGACAACGACAAUGUCUCCAGACAUCGGCCACAGGUCCCCUGGGGGCAAAAUUGCCCGGUGGCGUAGCGGCUAAGUUUGUGCGCUCCAGCUUUGGCAGCCUGGGGUUCACCAGUUCAGAUCCCAGGCACAGACCUAGCACCGCUGGUCAGGCCACACUAUGGUGGCAUCCCACAUAAAAUAGAGGAAGAUUGGCACAGAUGUUAGCUCAAAGUCAAUAUUCCUCACACAAAAAAACAAAAACAAAAAA
Equus caballus (horse) is the source of this 3418-nucleotide long non-coding RNA. Lineage: Eukaryota; Metazoa; Chordata; Mammalia; Perissodactyla; Equidae. The record is from Ensembl.